Molecule: ribosomal RNA, 768 nt
Filed under: uncultured bacterium
Lineage: Bacteria
Description: bacterial SSU rRNA
Rfam family: Bacterial small subunit ribosomal RNA
Source: RNAcentral
ACAUGCAGUCGAGCGGAGCGAGGGUGCUUGCACCUUAGCUUAGCGGCGGACGGGUGAGUCAUUCUUAGGAAUCUGCCUAUUAGUGGGGGACAACAUUCCGAAAGGAAUGCUAAUACCGCAUACGCCCUACGGGGGAAAGCAGGGGAUCUUCGGACCUUGCGCUAAUAGAUGAGCCUAAGUCAGAUUAGCUAGUUGGUGGGGUAAAGGCCUACCAAGGCGACGAUCUGUAGCGGGUCUGAGAGGAUGAUCCGCCACACUGGGACUGAGACACGGCCCAGACUCCUACGGGAGGCAGCAGUGGGGGAUAUUGGACAAUGGGCGGAAGCCUGAUCCAGCCAUGCCGCGUGUGUGAAGAAGGCCUUUUGGUUGUAAAGCACUUUAAGCGAGGAGGAGGCUACCGAGAUUAAUACUCUUGGAUAGUGGACGUUACUCGCAGAAUAAGCACCGGCUAACUCUGUGCCAGCAGCCGCGGUAAUACAGAGGGUGCGAGCGUUAAUCGGAUUUACUGGGCGUAAAGCGUGCGUAGGCGGCUUUUUAAGUCGGAUGUGAAAUCCCUGAGCUUAACUUAGGAAUUGCAUUCGAUACUGGGAAGCUAGAGUAUGGGAGAGGAUGGUAGAAUUCCAGGUGUAGCGGUGAAAUGCGUAGAGAUCUGGAAGGAUACCGAUGGCGAAGGCAGCCAUCUGGCCUAAUACUGACGCUGAAGUACGAAAGCAUGGGGAAGCAACAGGAUAGAUACCCUGGAAGUCCCGCCGUAAACGAAGUCCACAU